AAUGAAUCAAGGCAUUUCUUGAAAUUCAAUGGCUUUUUUUUUCAUUUGGGAAUGUUCAAAUGUAUGUUAAUAAUCUUCCUGUUCACCCCACUCAACAACUGGCUCGUCAUUCAUACGCAAAAUGAGGUAAGAAAGAAGCUGAAAAAGAUUCUGCCAGAAUAAGAGAGAGACAUAAAAGGAGAGGCUGCUUACGUCCACCUCGCAGCGCUCGCCAGCAAAGGCAACAUCACAGAGGCACUGGAAUUUGUUGACAGGUCACAGAUUGCCUGAAGCCAUUGACCAACUCCAUUUUAAGAAUUCCUGUAUGAGGUGAAGAACAGUUGAAGAGUUUCUCUGGGAAAAGUAGACUCAUAUGGAUAAGAGCUGAACUCCAGUUGCCCUGCCAAGACUUGCUGCUCCCUAUGUAAUAAUUCAUAGCUUCGAAGAAUGCAAGCCAAAUGCUGUCCAGGAGCUUUGUAUAUAGCACACGAUGGUAACUGCAUGUGAAUUCAGAGUGUGGCUCUCUGAUAUGGCAACAAAGCUUUACAUGUUAAAGAAUCCUCAUAAAAGGCGGAACAAGUAUUAGAAGCUAAGCGGAACUUCACUGUAAGACAAAAUCUAGUAAUGUGAAGGGACUGAUAUUUAAAGAGUUUAAUAGUGUUGCUUAGGCCCUUUGACCCACUGUGUAUGUGCAUGGUAUCAGAUAACUAAUAAAUAUUCAGGAAGUGUAAAAUGAAUUGAAUUUUGUUCUGUUGUGUGUGCUGCAGCUAAUGUGGAUAGACUAGCUUAUAUGAUGCUAAGUGUGUCUCUUCCCGCAAGAGCUAAUCAAUUCUACUUUAAAAAGAAGGAUAUCAUAAAGACUUUUCAAAAGAGCCAAAAAUGUCAACCAGCUUUGAAAGAGGUCAAUUAGCAAUGCAAAUAUGAAGCUUUGUAUACAUCUUGGUUUUAAUAAACAAUUCCUGAAUCUCAUUAGAAGGUAUUUUUGAGGGCUUUCAUCUUUCAGAACUUGACUUUAAUGAAUUAGGCAGAAAAAAAUUCUGGAGAAGUAGUUACUAGGGCCUAUGUGUUUAUUUUACUUAUCAAAAUUCACAGUGAAAUAUACUAAAUUUGAUCCUGAAUUCUUCUUGCUUUUAAACAGGCAGGUUACCUGUUGGGAACACUUAGCACCUACAACAGUGCCUUGCUUUCACAGGCUCAGAACAGUAACUGUUAAGGAGAGAUGUACAACUUCUUAUAGGUAUGCCUACAUGUUAUGUUUGCUAGGAGAUUCAUGCAAUUAAGGUACCACCUCUGAAUUAGUGUAAUGUCUACAGGCUGCCAACCCAUUCCAGGUGUUCUUGCCGAAGUUCUGGAAUGUAUUACUUGUUAAUAAUAACCCUCUCACCUCCCCAUAAUGACUCAAUUAUUUAGUAAAUUUAAAGCGGUGUAAGUUGUAAAAACAAUAAUAACUUCUUACAUGG
RNAcentral lists this long non-coding RNA (1439 nucleotides) under Homo sapiens (human). RNAcentral's name for it is "HSALNT0019592". The record is from RNAcentral. Lineage: Eukaryota; Metazoa; Chordata; Mammalia; Primates; Hominidae.